This is a small nucleolar RNA of Mirounga angustirostris (Northern elephant seal), 119 nucleotides long. RefSeq annotates it as small nucleolar RNA SNORA11. The transcript has a single exon. Lineage: Eukaryota; Metazoa; Chordata; Mammalia; Carnivora; Phocidae. The record is from RefSeq and is a predicted model, not a curated record.
GGGGUGUGCUCAGAGCAAGGGGCCUACGCAAAUGGCUUCUCUGUUUAUAAGACACCCAGUCUGGGUUCAUUGUGACCAAUGAAAUUUGUGGCCUUCUUACAAACAUAUAGGCUACACAU